Non-coding RNA from Podarcis lilfordi (Lilford's wall lizard), 75 nucleotides. The record is from the annotation of a GenBank genome assembly. Lineage: Eukaryota; Metazoa; Chordata; Lepidosauria; Squamata; Lacertidae.
ACCCCAGAUGGCUCAAUUGCUUAGAGUGUGGGGUUGAUAACGCCGAGGCUGCAAGUUCAAUUCCUGUAUGGGACG